AUCCGGAUGACGAGUCCUGAAUAGGACGACAUACGCGUCAUCCUGGAU
This 48-nucleotide non-coding RNA is filed under the name Trichobilharzia regenti. The record is from RNAcentral. Lineage: Eukaryota; Metazoa; Platyhelminthes; Trematoda; Strigeidida; Schistosomatidae.